Cynocephalus volans (Philippine flying lemur) is the source of this 556-nucleotide long non-coding RNA. RefSeq lists it as uncharacterized. The record is from RefSeq and is a predicted model, not a curated record. NCBI's taxonomy places the organism in Eukaryota, Metazoa, Chordata, Mammalia, Dermoptera, Cynocephalidae. The transcript is spliced from 2 exons.
GUUUUCUUCUCAGGGCCUCUGCAAAGUAAAGCCCUGGUAAAUCUCAGCAGACUGCUGCCCUCUUCCUGUUCCCCAGUUGAUUAGGCUGGCCAGUUCUGCAGCUGCAUACUACUUCAGGGCACAGUCAGCAUGAAAAGUUGGAAGAAGAUCCAGUCACAGGAAAAGAGAAAUGGGAUAGACAACAAUAGAUCUGCAACAUUACCAGCGCCACUUUAGACAAGCCCAAGUACAAAAUGGUGCUGCCCACCUCCUCCUCUCCCCCUCCCCCUCCCCCUCCCACCUCCCCCCUCCCCCCUCCCCUCCCUCAUCCCCCCCCCCUUUAUGAGAAGCCUCCUGACUUGGAAACAACUUUCUGGCUUCUGCAUAGGUGCAGUUCUUCACCCAGUUACAUCAACUUAAUGGUCCCUCCCCCCAUACAUUUUGCGCCCGAAAGCUAAUAUAAACUCCCGCAAACCCAUUGUUGGGGCCGUCCACCAUUUUCAGGGCAGACAUGGGCCCUGUGCCACUCUGAGCACAGCCAAGCAGAUUUCUUUCUUUAAUAAAGCUUGAACGGUAC